RNAcentral lists this transfer RNA (87 nucleotides) under Pirellulales bacterium. RNAcentral's name for it is "tRNA-Ser". It matches the Rfam family "tRNA". Rfam says of the family: Transfer RNA (tRNA) molecules are approximately 80 nucleotides in length. The record is from RNAcentral. Lineage: Bacteria; Pseudomonadati; Planctomycetota; Planctomycetia; Pirellulales.
GGAUGGGUGGCCGAGUGGACUAAGGCGGCAGUCUUGAAAACUGCUGUGCGGGAAACCGCACCGGGGGUUCGAAUCCCUCCCCAUCCG